UGGGGAAUAUUGGACAAUGGGGGCAACCCUGAUCCAGCAAUGCCGCGUGUGUGAAGAAGGUCUUCGGAUUGUAAAGCACUUUCGACGGGGACGAUGAUGACGGUACCCGUAGAAGAAGCCCCGGCUAACUUCGUGCCAGCAGCCGCGGUAAUACGAAGGGGGCUAGCGUUGCUCGGAAUGACUGGGCGUAAAGGGCGUGUAGGCGGUUUACACAGUCAGAUGUGAAAUCCCCGGGCUUAACCUGGGAGCUGCAUUUGAUACGUGUAGACUAGAGUGUGAGAGAGGGUUGUGGAAUUCCCAGUGUAGAGGUGAAAUUCGUAGAUAUUGGGAAGAACACCGGUGGCGAAGGCGGCAACCUGGCUCAUGACUGACGCUGAGGCGCGAAAGCGUGGGGAGCAAACAGGUUAGAUACCCUGGUAGUCCGCGCUGUAAACGAUGUGUGCUAGAUGUUGGGUAACUUUGUUAUUCAGUGUCGCAGUUAACGCGUUAAGCACACCGCCUGGGGAGUACGGCCGCAAGGU
This 521-nucleotide ribosomal RNA is filed under the name uncultured bacterium. RNAcentral describes it as "partial 16S ribosomal RNA". It matches the Rfam family "Bacterial small subunit ribosomal RNA", at positions 355 to 894 of the family's 1533-position model. The record is from RNAcentral.